GAAGAGAAAAUCUCUAAUAAUUUAUUGACCUUCAGUUUCACAUUGUGAAAAAAAAAAAUAACAGUUUUACAAAACCUCAAAAUGUAGUCAUAGCAAACAAGUACAUAUGAACAUGAACAUUUUCCUUCAACUUAUACAGUUUUGUACGUGAACCACAUGGUCAAUAGCCAAGAGAGGGACAUUAUGCGGCUCUAAUCACUCUUAUUCAAGACAGGUGUCAAGCCCAGAGAAAAGCGGCUACACAAUUAUACCAGAAGUGGAGGGCUGCCCUUUGUUAUGUGUUUCUACAGCAACCAGCCCACAAAAUAAGAAGAACCUUCUCUGUCUUAUGCCAAGGUUUUUGUGUGUACUGUGCUGUGAAUUGUAUUUGCUUCAAAGUGUGGGACGUUUCACAGGGUGAGAAUGGUCAAGUAGUGAGACCAAAUGCCUGUAUCAAUUCAAAGAGCAGGAGUCCAGAAAGUUCCCUGCAGGCUGGGGGCCCAACCCUUACCACAGCUCCCUCUGGCUCACACACAGUAAUUAAUAGAGGAUUCAAGGACAGAGCCCAACUUUGAAACAGCUGCAGAAAAUCCAUCCUGCCUUCAGAAGCCAUGCAGUGACACAUACAUCUCUCUUGGCAGAUUUGCAUCAUAAACUACAGAGCUGUAACUGCUACAAUAUAAACGACACUGACUAUGCCCACUGGGGGACAAUUAGACAUUUGCAUUGCUUAGAACACAUCUAGGAACCAGGGACUGACUGCUGGAAAGUACUGUGAUUCUUUUCUUCCAACAGCUCAUUUAUUUUGGCCCAACUACAGCCCACUCAUUCAUGGCAUGGACGGACAAGCACAAUUAGUCUAAAGUACUAAGGUGGAGAGAAAUGUUAAGGAUUUAUCUGUCAUUAGACAAUGCAAACACGGUCACAAUGUAAAAGGUUGUUAUCAGUCUUAACCCCUAUUUUCUAAAAUACAGCAAUGUGAGAAACGUGGACGAAAGCAGUUCAAGUUGCAAACUUUGGUCUUCCCCCGCACCUCGGGGGAAGCACCUAUUUGAGACUAGCACUAAUACCUACGACGGCACAUGCUUAGUAAACAAGCACUCCAACUAGCAAAGAAUGUAUUCACAACUGAUUUCCAACUCUGCCGGAAACCUUCUCAAUAGGGGCCACUGCUUACAAUUCUUUGGUGUUUUGUGGCCAAAUGUGUUACUCGUGCACCAAAGAGUUUUUUAAAAAGAGAUUUGCCUAAGGGUGAGCACUGAAGUAUACAUUGUGCCAAUGUAAUUAUUUUCUUGGAGACCUUCUAGAACUUGCUAAAUCAUAUAGCAAGAAGAGAAGGAGUUCGGGUCAAGAAAUCUGGUGAGUUAAUUUCCAUCUGUGAUACUUCCGUUUUUCCCAUUAACUGUGGUUGUGGCAAAGCAUUCUCAUAAGGUAAUAAAUAAAUAAAUAAACUUUGGACAAUGCCUUUACCUGUGUCCUAUAUACAGAACUAUUCCAUAGAAUUUUCCAGGAUUUCAAGAUAUUACACAAAGAAAAAAACUGUAAAGCAAUUUGGUCCUUUCCAAAUGUCAGCAGCUGAGACUGAAUUAGGUAAAUCAGAUGGGAGUGGGGAGAAGGGCAGAAAGAAGCCUCCCCUUACCCCAUCAGCACAACCAAACCCCAUGAAAUCCCAUUAAAAUCUGGUGAGUCUGAGAAAAGUGAUCUCCACGGUUUUUCUACCUCUAGGAUGUCAUUUAAAUUUCCAUUUUGUCAUCCUUCCCUGUCUUGACAUUUUUAAAAUCCACCCCUCCCCAACCCACCCUCCAGUUAUACUCCAAAUUGUAACUCAAAAGUUUUCAUGUUUGUGCAGCAAAGCACAUCUCAACAGCCACAAAAUGUGCAAAACAUACAACCAUUCACACACGUCCAUACAUGUGAAGACAGCUGUAGGCA
This is a long non-coding RNA of Macaca fascicularis (crab-eating macaque), 1911 nucleotides long. NCBI's taxonomy places the organism in Eukaryota, Metazoa, Chordata, Mammalia, Primates, Cercopithecidae. The record is from Ensembl.